AGUCAUAGCUUUUAUAUUUAUUUUCUUAAAAGCAGAGUUGGGUAAUUAAGUGACUGGAUAGCAAGAAAUAGAAUCAUAUUAUAAAUUAUAUUUAUUAUUUUAUGUGGUUUUGGAGGAAUAAAUAGAGACAAACCAUAGGCAACAAACAGCAUCAUUGCCAAGAUAGCAAAUGCCAUGAAGCACAAGGAGCGAGCCAUAGUCUCUUUGAAUGAUGAAAAAUGAUAGGAAUUUUAAUAAAAAGAAAGAUUGCAAUUCAGAGGUGUGAAAGAACAGUAACUCAAUAGAGGUAUUUAUAGGCGCUGAACUAAGAGUAGAUAAAAUUUAAAGCAAAAAGUAAACAAAUAAAAUGAAAUAAUUAUUGCACUGGAAUUGUUGGUAAUUUGAAGUUUGGAGAUACAUAUUUCUUAUUUUUUUUCUUUUUCUUUUUUGUCUUUAACCAAUGUCCGAUAUUAGGACCUCAACUAGUGUUGAUUCGGCCCGUGUAUAGUAAAAAACAAUAACAUCAAUAAUAAUAACCCAGAAAAUUUUCACUAGUGGGGUCUGGGGAGGGUAGUGUGUAUGUAGACCUUACCCCGACCCUGAAGGAGUAGAGAGGUUGUUUUCGGAAGACCAUCGGCUUAAGAAAAUAAAAAAGACAAAAGGAGAUAAUAUUAGUAUCACCUUAGAAAUCAUAGGAAAAAUAGGAACAACAUGAAAUCCAGAAAAAAGAUGCAAAGCAAAGCAAAAAUUAUAGCUAGUAAAUAGGUCAUGCACUGAAAAGCAAAAAGCGUAAUAGUAAGACACAACGUUGUCACUAUCUGUCUUAGACAAAAAACCUGUCAGCCUAGUCUCACAAAGGUACAAAUUAAGACAAGAAUCAACUACCUUCUAACCUAGAACUCUAAUACCCGUGUAUAGUUAAAAGUACUUCUUAUAACAUGCUCAUGACUUGAAAUCGAGACUUCUAUCUAAGGGUGUAGGAAUCAUAUCGAUUGCACUACCAUUCGUGAUGGUUUAAAAAUAUCCCAAUGUUGUAGCAAAAUUAAAACUUAUUCUAAUGAUAAAUGUUGUUUUAGGCACACUACGACACAAGAGGAGGGUUAACUGGAUAGUUAACACUUAAAAAUUCUUCCAAAGUUUUUUAGAAAUUUGCUUAACCUAUAGUAUCUAGACGAUGGAAUUGGUUCUCAAAUUUGUCCUAGUUACUGCGCAAGUAAUAACAACGCGGAAUUAAGGAAAGAACAACGCACAAACUUUUACGAAAAUACUAUUGUCACUCAAAGGUGUAAAGAUCACGACCUAACCUAAUAGCAUUUAACCCAAACUCCGCUAAAAUAAAGAGCCAUUACUCAUAUUACAACUUUGUAACCUAAGAGAUUAAGUCCAAUCACUUUCCCCAACAAUCACUAGGUUGUUGCCCUUCGAUUUAACUCUAACUUGAAAUAGAUUAUUUGGUAUCCUAAGCUCAAAGAGUCAUAUGGUGCAAAUUAUUCGGUGUACCUUUAUAAAAUCGAGUUUUCAAAUUCCAUGUUUGUCUUGUUGUUUUUUUCUAUCUUUUCCUACAAUUAAACCCGGUGGGUAAUAUAUUCGUUGUAAGAACGUCAAGAUUAAACCCAUCCAAUGUAAAUACUGAAUCUAUCUCUUUAUAAUAAUGCACGGUGCACCCAUCUUCUUAAACUACUGGUUACUCAUCUCUUUCAAUGGCGAAGCCACAUGGUCACAAGGGUGGUUAGUUGACCACCCUUUGUUGAAAAAGUGUACUGUUUAUAUAGAUCAAAUAUUAUAUUUUAGAGGUAUAUAACACAUAUUGAACACCCUUUGUCGGAAAAAAUUCCACUUCUUUCAAAUUUGAAUAUCCUUAAAAAAAUUCCUAGCUUCGGCACUGAUCUCUUCACCAUGAAGCUGAAUCACUUAAUCUACUUGGUUCUUCACAAGUCACACCAAACUUAUGCCAAAAAUUUAAUAGAAGUUAAAGUUGUACAAAUUCAUAUAGUACAAAGAUAAAUUUGAUGUUUUACCAGAACAUAACACUGAGCUCCACUGCUCUCGCAACAGGUGAAGGAAGAGGUUUAAUAUCAACCUUUAUCUUCUUCAUGAAUAUCAAAAUUGUCCAAAUGGCAGAAUCAGAUACUGCAGUUUCAAGUACAGUUUACUUCAUAUGAGUUGAGAACUCAUUCUCACAAUAUAAGAAUGCACAGUUCGGGUCAGAAUUUGAAGUUUAUGAGUUCGAAAUUCUAGCAAUAUAAAAAAACGGAAAAGGCUUAAAACUGCCACUCAACUUUCAGAAAUGGUCUAUCCAUGCUAUCCGUUAAAAAAUGCUCAUUUCAUGCCACUACCGUUACACAUUUGGCCCAUCCAUGCCAUUAUUGACUAACGACUCAAUUUUUAUAUUUAUUUUAAUAUUUAUAACACCCACAUUUUCACGUGUCAUGUCGUUAUUGGUCCGAGUUAACCCAUGCCCCACUUAAUUUUAACCUUGGUUAGGUCCAUCUACCCAAACCCACCCGAUUAAAACAUACCCGAAUCAUUCACCCAACCCAAACUCUUCAUACCAAAUCCCCUUCUCUCCAAUCGUCUUCCCCAAGAUGUAAAUCUUGGCAGUGGUUGUUAUGACGAUGAUGGUGAUGACCACCGUAACAUAUCCGAACACCAUCUCCACUGCCACCGCUUGUCACCGAAAACUUCCACUUUGCAACCUUGUCUUCUUCUUCUUCUUCUUCAAGUAUUUCUUCAUCAUUUUCUUGAAUUGCUUCAAUCACCUCUUCUUCAUCGUCCAGGGGGAAAUCUUCAUUUUCCUCUUAUGUUUCUUCAUCUUCAUCACGAAUGAGAUGUAAUUUCAGUCCUCCAUCUUGGCCAGAAGUAAGGAGAGUUACGAGCCGACCAAUUUUCACCUCUGUCAACUCUAACCUUCUAUCUUUUCUCACCGCACGCAUGAAGAAAUUUGACUUUCCAUCUUGGUUUAAGGACGAUAAUGGCGGCGGAAACUUCUUUUCUUUCUUCUUCGAAUUACAUCUUUGCCAGCACCUUGAACUAAGUGGGGAAGACGACCGGAGAGAAGGGGGUUUGGUAUGAAGAGUUUGGGUUGGGUUAUUGAUUUGGGUAUAUAUUAACCGGGUCGGGUUUGAGUAGGUGGACUUAACCAAGGUUAAAAUUAAGUGGGGCAUGGGUUAAUUCAGACCAAUAACAACAGGACACGUGGAAAUGUGGGUGUUAUAAAUAUUAAAAAAAUAAAAAUUGAGUCGUUAGUCAAUAAUGACAUGGAUGAGCCAAAUGCGUAACGGCAGUGGCGUGAAAUGAGCAUUUGUUUAAUGGAUGACAUGGAUAGACCAUUUCUGAAAGUUGAGUGGCAUUUUUAGGCCUUUUUCGUAUAAAAAAUAAAAAGUUGCGGGUUAAAUAGUAAUAUAAUCAAAUAGUAUUUUCUUUUUAGUAUUUAUGUUAUAUCUCUUCGUUUUAUACACUUUUAAGAAAAAUAUUAAAUAACCCUAAUCAUAAGAGUAUACGUUAGUCAAAAUUUACCUUUUUUUAUACCAUAGAAGGUCAUUUUCAUUACAAAUACACAAAUAAACUUAGUGCAAGAUUGCACAAAGGAUUGAAGUGCCACACUUAUUUAAAGUGUAACAAAAGGCUACUAAAAGCCAAUUAAAACACAGCAUUAGCUACACUUUUAAGAAAGGUAGAAACUUUAUUAUGUGUGACACUGCAUCCUUAAUUUCUUCUAAUCUCUAAUUAGUUAUCCAUUAUCUCUUCUUCAAGCAAAGCUGCAGCCAAAGUUUUUGCUUCCUCAACCAAAGUUUCAGCUCCUGUUUUGAUCAUCUACUCAUCAAACACACAUGGCUUAGUGCAUAGGCACCUUCUGAGGAGUUUGCUACAAUGACCAUCAGUAAAUUUCUCACUGAUACAAGCUUUUCUGCAUGGUGGUUUGGUAAUGCAUAUUACAGGGAAUGUAUUGCUUUCUGCUUUGCAUUCUCUAGCCUGCACCUCUACAAUCAUUGACAAGUACUUACCAAAGUUAGAAUAAAAGAAAAGAUAGCUAGAAUUGAAAGAAACCAUUAAAACAUGAAUAUAUUCAAGGUUCUUAAAGAUACAUACAUACAUACAUGUGUGUAUAUAUAAGGGCAGCCCAGUGCACAAAGGGUCUAGGGAAUCGGUGUCAUGACCCAGAUAUCCCACCCUCGGGAGUCGUGAUGGCGCCUACUAAUGGAAGCUAGGCAAGCCGACCAUUUGAACAAAUUAAUUUUUCCCCAUUUUAAUUCUUUAACAAGUGUGAAUCAACAGUUUAUAAACAAACAACGAAAAUUUAAAACAAGCGGAAGAAACAAUUAAACCAUUUAAAUGAUUCCAACAUAAUUUCUUAAUAAAAAACUACCCAAGACUGGUGUCACAACUCCACAGACGGUCUAAGAAUUCUAUAACCAAGGUCCGAAGAAUAAAUGCAACAUUGUUUUUGGAUUACAUAAGUGAAACAGGAAGAAAAGAUAGAGGGAGACGCUAGGGCCUGCGGACGCCUGCAGGACUACCUUGGAUCUCAGUGUGGACUGAAGGUAGCCACCAAGCUACGGUCCAAAAGCUGCUGCUCCGGGAUCUGCACACAGUGCAGAGUGUAGUAUCAGCACAACCGACCCCAUGUGCUGGUAAGUGCCUAGUCUAACCUUGGCGAAGUAGUGACGAGGCUAGGACAAGACUACCAAAUAAACCUGUGCAGUAAAAGCAUAUACAUAUAUAGCAAGUAAUAAUAAAGGACACUAUCAGUUUAAGAUGGGAAGGGGAUAUGUUAUGGGGAAUAUCAUUUGCCAACAGUAACUCAGGAAGAAAACACAAAGAACAAUUUAAAAUUCGAAGCAGAAGGAAUAAGGAAAAAAAACAAAUCAAUAUCCUUUUAUUGAAUAUCGUGAUGGUUUAAAAAUAUCCCAAUGUUGUAGCAAAAAUAAAACUUAUUCUAAUGAUAAAUGUUGUUUUAGGCACACUACGACACAAGAGGAGGGUUAACUGGAUAGUUAACACUUAAAAAUUCUUCCAAAGUUUUUUAAAAAUUUGCUUAACCUAUAGAAUCUAGACGAUGUAAUUGGUUCUCAAAUUUAUCCUAGUUACUGCAAGUAAAAGCAACGCGGAAUUAAGGAAAGAACGACGCACAAACGUUUACGUAAAUAUAAUUGUGGUUCGAAGGUGUAAAGAUCACGACCUAACCUAAUAGCAUUUACUAACUCAAACUCCACUAAAAUAAAGAGUCAGUACUCAUAUUACAACUUUGUAAUCUAAGAGAUUAAUUCCAAUCACUCUCCCCAACAAUCACUAGGUUGUUGCCCUUCGAUUUAAUUCUAACUUGAAAUAGAUUGUUUAGUGUCCUAUGCUCAAAGAGUCAUAUGGCGUAAAUUAUUUGGUGUACCUGUAUAAAAUCGAGGUUUCAAAUUCCAUGUUUGUCUUGUUGUUUUUUUCUAUCUUUUCCUACAAUUAAACCCGGUGUGUGAUGUAUUCAUUGUAAAAACGUCAAGAUUAAACCCGUCCAAUAUAAAUAUUGAAUCUAUCUCUUUAUAAUAAUGUACGGUGCACCCAUCUUCUUAAACUACUGGUUAUUCAUCUCUUUCAAUGGCGAAGCCACAUGGUUAGACCACCCUUCGUCAAAAAAUUGUACUGUGUAUAUAGAUAAAAUAUUAUAUUUUAGAGGUAUAUAACAUAUAUUGGACACCCUUUGUCGGAAAUUUUUUUCACUUCUUUCAAAUUUGAAUACAACAAAUUCCUAGCUUCGACACUGAUCUCUUCACCAUGAUGCUGAAUCACUUAAUCUACUUGGUUCUUCACAAGUAACAUCAAAACUUAGGCCAAAAAUUUAAUAGAGGUUAAAGUUGUUCAAUUUCGUAUAAUAUAAAUGUAUACGGUGAAAUCGGAGGGUCCAAUCUCUCAUUAUCAAAGCACCUCGGAAGACCGUCUCGAAGUCCCGAGGCUACAAGGCUACGAUCAGGACUCCUCCCUCGAGGUUUGUCGACACUCGAUGUUGAGAUAAUGUCAACCACGGCCACAGUGGAAACGGGGAGUUCCCAUGGCACGUGGCUAGGACUGACGAAACCUAGAGAGCUACUCUAAGACCCGAGUCAGGGUGUCAUCUAAUUGUCGCGUCUCCAUACCCUUGUAAUUAAUGCUUGUUAUACUAUGAAGGGAUUUCCCUCCUAUAUAAAGGGGAUCCUCCCCACUUUGUAGACUUUGUUGCUUCAGCUACUCCACACGAAAAAUACAUGAAUAUUCUUUUUGCCCUCUAGCAUACUCUCUUAAUAUUAUUGUUUUCAUUUAUUGUCUUCAUAUUUGUUCGUCAUUCGCCAUAAAAAGCCUUCGCUGAUUAUUUCAUAACUGUUAGCCCUACCCCGAUCACCCACGACAGCUCGAGCCCGAGCCCUGGCAUCAACCUCGAGGCCACAAAUCGAUAGGCUCGAGGCCCUGAAUAGCUCACGUAGCGGUUUGAUUAUAGCCUUCUCCCUAACUUUAUUUCGUCUCUAAGUCUCACAUACCCAGCAUCAACUGCUUAUCAAACUAGCAUAAAAAAUAGAUCACGUAUUUUUAGAGUCCCAUCAACAAAUUUAAUUGUCAUUACCAUUUUCACGGUAAACAGUUUGGCGUCCACCGUGGGGCUAAAAAUAAUAGUGAUUGUUUUCUUGCUGGUUUUACUACAUAACGCAAGUUAUCUUUCACGCUUUUUCUUUUCCAAUAUCUUCGAUUUCAGGUAAAAAUGUCUAACUCGGUAAACGGAGAUGAAAACAACAAUCUUGAGGACCAUGGGGAGAACGGUGUGGCUAUUCUAGGUAUUGUUGUGCCGCCACAAAACCAUGGGAAUGCGCCGGAGCCAAUCCCCGUGGACGCGGCCUCACGCGACGCCCAACGCAUCGGCAUAAGCUCCAACACUGACAGGAUCGUGCACCAAGGGGAUCAACAAGAAGCAUAGAAAACCCCAACUAGGGAAGAACGUGAGGUUAGCCUUCAUGUUAUUUUUGAAAUGUUGCAGGCAAAACAUCUAGUUAUUGCUCAGCUGCAAAGUCACCAGAAAACUCCUGGCACGGUAGCACCGGGGACAGCUCCCCCGGUCGAACAGGUACCUGAGAGAUCGAGCAAUAACGGGUUGAUAGCCGACCCUGUCAUCGUAAAAAUACUCGAGGACCUCACCAAAAGAAUCAAAUCAGGCGAGAAAAUGAUAGAAGCCAACGACAAAAAGGUCGAGACCUACAACUCCAGGGUCGACCAGAUUCCGGGCGCGCCACCGAUCCUGAAAGGUAUGGAUUCGAAGAAGUUCAUACAAAGGUCGUUCCCUGAGAAAACGGCCCUAAAACCCAUUCCAUAGAAGUUCAGAAUGCCGGAGAUCCCAAAGUACAAAGGGGCCUUAGACCCCAAUAAACACAUUACUGCCUACACUUGCGCAGUAAAGGAAAACGAUAUAAAGAACGACGAGAUCGAAUCCGUAUUACUGAAAUAGUUCGGGGAAACACUCUCGAAGCGGGCCAUGAUGUGGUAUCACAACUUAGCUCCUAACUCCAUAGACUCAUUCGCCAUGCUAGCAGACUCCUUCAUAAAGGCACAUGUCGGUGCCAUCAAAGUAGCAACGAGGAAAUCUGGCGUUUUCAAAAUUAAGCAAAGGGAGAACGAGAUGCUGCGAGAAUUUGUAUCUCGUUUUCAAAUGGAACUAAUGGAGCUACCGCCAGUCUCCGACGACUGGGCGGUGCAGGCUUUCAUUCAAGGUCUGAACGAACGAAACUCUAUGGCUUCAAAACAGUUGAAGCAAAAUUUGAUCGAGUAUCCAGCUGUGACCUCGUUGGACAUCCACAACUGGCACCAAUCGAAAAUCAGGGUCGAGGACGACCAGUUGGGAGCCCCCUUGGGCUCAGUAUACCAAAGCUGGAGCCAAAACAAAACAAAGCAAGAUAUCAGCCAUACAUCAAAGACAAGAGAACGCCUCGAGGCGCACCCCACCUCGCAAUGAUCGAAGGAUAGAUCGAGGACAGGAUCCUCGGGGACUCACCAACAGAGCCAGGUUCGAUAGGAACGCAGGGCCAACGGGGGCACCUCACUUGUCAGAAUACAAAUUCAACGUUGAUGUAUCGGACAUCGUGUUUUCCAUCAGUAAAAUCAGAGAUGCCAGAUGGCCCAAGCCUGUACAAUUAGAUCCUUCACAAAUGAAUCAUAACUUACUGUGCGAAUUUCACAACACGCACGGCCACAGGACCGAGGAUUUCCACCGAGGAUUGACACCAACUCCGAGAAGAGGUAGCUCGACUACUUAAAAAAGGUCAUCUCCGGGAAUUCCUUAGCGACCGAGCCAAAAAUCAAUUCCGGAAAAGAGAGGCGGCUAAGAAGAACGAAGAAAACAAGCCACAACAUGUCAUCCACAUGAUCUUGGGAGGAGUUGAUGCCCCACUGGAACCCGUAAUGAGAAGGACAAAAAUAUCCAUCACCCGAGAAAAGCAAACCUGGGGAUAUAUUCUUGAGGACGCCCUCACAUUCAGCAAAGAGGACACCGAGACCUUGUCUCAACCUCACAAUGAUGCACUGGUAAUCUCUUUCCUUGUGAAUUCUUUUCAAAUAAAACGUGUACUCAUGGAUCUAAGUAGCUCGGCCAACAUUAUCAGGUCGAGGGUGAUAGAGCAUCUCGAACUGCUUAACCAAAUCGUGCCCGCCACUCAAGUCCUCAACGGAUUCGAUUUGGCAAGUGAAACAACAAAAGGAGAAAUCACACUCCCUAUCACCGUGGCCGGCACGACCCAAAAUGCCAAAUUCCAUGUAAUCGAAGGAGUCAUGAGGUAUAACGCGUUGUUCGGACGAUCGUGAAUACACUGCAUGAGGGCAGUACCGUUCACUCUACACUAAAUGAUGAAAUUCCCGACAAAGGAUGGGAUUAAAACUGUCUACGAGGAACAACAUGCGGCAAGGGAAAUGUUCGCGGUACACGACGUGGCACCGACACCCAUGCAUCCGCUCGCAAAAAAUCCAAAGGGUAAUCAAGGCACACCCUCAAUCAAGCUCGAUUAAACAAAAUAAAGGACCGUACUGCAUCCUCAUCUCAAGUGAUUGGAACAUAUCAGUCCUCAAAACAUCGUCAGCGCGUCUCACACUAAGGUAUAACCAUCUCCCUUUUCAUUUCGUAUUUCAGACUAACCCUUAUGCAGGCGCCCGAUCGAAGCAGUCAGAAUGAUAAACAGUUCGAAUACCUUGAGGUUUUAAAGCAUCCGUUGCACUCUUUUCCUUCGACCGAGUUUUUAUCCCGAAAAGGGUUUUACCGGCAAGGUUUUUAACAAGGCAACAUCUGCAUGCUACCUAAGGGAGACUCAACAAGUGUCCGAGGCUUCUUUUACAAUCAACCUGGAACACUGAGGGGUACCCCCCCCCACGAAGGUCAUCCGCUUGUAAAAUCCAAGAGAUGUCGAAUCGGGUCCCCAUAGGAAAAUGAUGUAUCAGGCCAAACGGUCGAACGAACUGUGUUCGUAUAGCCGGGCCCCCGACAGUGAAAACAUGUACACUUAUACCAAAUAAUUGAAGAAUAUUUUUUUAUCAAAGCAUCUCAUGCUCCAAAAGAGGCCCAGCACUUUCGCAAAAACAACUCCUCCGUCGAAAACGCCCCAAACAAUCGGGGACUAGCGUCAACAAUUCAACACCUAAACGACCUCCGGGUCAGGACUCUAAAAUCAUAAGCCCUUAGAUACGGCAACGCGAACAUCGUGAAACACCUCCAAUGCCGAAAGUACCCAAAUACUCGGGGACUAGCGUCAAAAUCUCAAAGCAACACACGACCUCAGGGUUGAGAUCUCCAAAAUCGUAAGCCCUCGACGAGGCAAUGCAAAGUUUGCAAAAAAUGACUCCCGAGUCAAGAAACUCUCGACGACUCGGGGACUGCCAUCAGGUGCCACCUCCAUUGAAUUAACAAAACCCGAGGCCAUAAGACCCCGAGCAGGCAAACUCGGUCUCGUAAGACCUAGAUAAGGCAACAAUCAUAUCUGUAAGACCUCAAGCAAGUCAUGAACAAUACUUGUACCAAGUAUCCAAAACUGUAAGACCUCAAAGGCAUGAAAAAAUUGUAAGACCUUACUAAAGGCAUAAACCCGAUCUCAAAGUUUCGGCUAUAUAUUGAACUUGUAAGACCCCUAAAAAGGCAUACCCUCGAUAUAGAUGCCGAAACUAUCUCAUUAGGGAUCAAAAAUGGCUCCGACCAAACACAAGUGACCCCGGUCACACAGUUGUACCGGCCGAACUAACGCGACUCGGGGACGCCCGACCGUCGCUAAAAAAUCACAAUCCAUUACAUCGCAUCUACUUCGAAAAGCACCGGUUAAAUAGGCUACCCUCAGCAUAGUCAAAAAAGCUUCGACUAUGUCAGCUCCAAAUCACAGGCUUCGAGCUACUCAGCCUCCGAUCCAACACUCCCGAGAUGCUCGAACAUCGCCCUAUGUUACUCGAAAUUGAGGUUCUUCCCAAACCGAUGAUGAGUAAGGCAAAAAUUACUUCAAAAGUCCUUAACGAGAGGAAAAUAAAGCCUACAUAAAAGGUUGCAUCAACCAAACACGUAAGAGCCAUUGUAGCCAGCCUAAUGAGCCUUAGGGCCACACAGGCAAAAGGUUACUUCAACCAAAAGCAUAAGAGCCACUGUCGCCAGCCUGAAAUCUGAAAACUUGAGGGUCAAAAUGAGCUCGAGUCGUAACCCGAUUUGGAGACUGGAUCCAAAAUAGUUAACCCAAUAUGCCUAAGGGCAAAAGCGUAAGAGCCACUGUCGCCAGACCACUUACAUUAAAGGGUCGCAUCGGCCCAAGGCGUGAGAGCCGUUGUCGCUAGCCCACUUACAUUAAAAGGCUGCAUCAGGCCCAAGGCAUAAGAUCCAUUGUCGCCAGCCCUCUUACAUUAAAAGGCCGCAUCGGCCCAAGGCAUAAGAACUAUUGUCGCCAGCCUACAUACACUAAAAGGCCACAUCGACCGAAAUCAUAAGAGCUACUGUCACCAGCCUAAGCUUCGGCCAUUAGAAGGUCAAAUAAGCUUGAGUCGAUGCCUGACUUAGGGACUGAGCCUAAAACAGGUGGCCUAAAUAUGCCUAAGAGCGAAAGUACGUAAGAGCCUAUGGGCUAGUCCAAUGAGGCUCGGGGCCACAUCACUACUCUGAGGAUUCCUACCAACGCAAAAACCAGCUCGCCUGGUCAAAAUCAAGAUAGAAAAAGAUAUGAAAAAAGUAAAAUCGCAUGGUUUUCUUUCAUACACAUGCAAGAAAUGCAACCUCCAGCUACAAACAUACUUUGAAAAUGCUACAAACAGAUGACAAAACUUAUGCCCCCCCUAGAGGUUACGAUCUACCAGUCUCAUCCUCGGUUUCCUCGGCAUCGGGCAAAAGCAAUCGAGCAUCACGCUCAUCCGCCCAUUCUAAUGCCAAUUCUUCCGAGAGGGCGAAACCCUAUCACGGAUCUCCUCGAGGGUCUUUCUUCGAAACUUGCAACAAGCAUAUUCUUCAAUCCUCCCUUCGCGAUCAAGGAUCCUUCUCAGCUCAGCUUGAGCAUUAGCAGAAUCCUUUGAGUAGAUCGUCAUCUCCUGGUCAGCCUUAGUCCGGCUCAUUACAGCUUUUGCACAGGCAUCAAUGAUCUCAGCCCUAACUUUCAAAAGGUCGGACUCGAGCUUCGCAAUCCUUUUUGUCUGAACCAAAGCAUUGUCGCGAGCUAGGCGAAGUUGAUUUUCAAAAGUAGGAACUUUGGCUAGAGCAUCCUUCCCCCUAAAGCCUGAGCCUCCGCCAGAGCUUUCAAUUCAUCACGCUCAUGCCUGGCCCGACCAACUUCAUCUCGAAGGUGUUCCAGGGCCUCCGUCUUUCUCUGCAACUGAAAUAAACUAAGUAUUAGCCCCAGGAUCCAGGAGGCGGAGUGCACACUCACCCAAGACAGAAAGCUACCUGCUCUUUCAGGUGGUUUUCGUAAUUCAAGCUUCGGCCCACCUCAUACUGAAAAUGUGCCAACUCGACUUCUUUUUCAUCACAAAGGAGACUCAGGGAUCUCUCCUCUUCCAGAGCUUUCCGUAGCCUGGCUUCACAACAAAGUAGCCCGGACUUAAGCUUGUUGAAUGCAUGCAAAAGAAAACUCAAUAAGGAAGGGAAGGCGCAAAGCUCAAAAAACCUGUGCCAAAACUCACCGCAAAGUGAAGCCACUGGGAUUCCUCGAAAGCCGAACGCACACCUACCAAUCCAGUCCCUUCGGCCCUGAAAGAGCCUACUCUGGUUGAAGCGCGAUCACUCGGUGUACGCAACCCCAGGUUUCUAGUAUAUCCCGAAAUGCUAUCGACGGAAAAAGAAGGUGACAGCAAUGGAGAAACCCUCAUUCCAGCACCAGGAGCCGCGGACACUGUCACACCUCCUUUUCACUACACCAAAUGGGUAUAAGGGAGUUUUUUCCAAUUUAAGUGACAAUCGAAACAGGAUUAUUUAUAUUAAAUUCAGAGUCGACACUUGGAAUAAUUUAUGGCAUCCCAAAUCACUGGUUUAAAAUCUCGAAUCGAGGAAAGUUGACUCUAUUUAUGGUCUACGAACACAGAAAUCUGGGUAAGAAAUUCUGUUAACCCGGGAGAAGGUGUUAGACAUUCCCGAGUUCUGUGGUUCUAGCAUGGUCGCUUUGAUCAUACUUGGCUUAAACAAAUUGUUUGAUUAUUGAUUUUAGAACCAAUGUGCAUUUGCCUUUUUUAAUUAAGAAAUUAUCUUGAAACGGGUCACGCGUACGUGUACCCAUUUGACUGGCGCAUCAAAAAUCAUGUCACGCGAAUGUGUCCACAAUUAAUAACAUUUUAUUAUUAAAAAAAAUUGGUCAAAGUUGCACGAACUCAUACUCCGGUUUUAUUUUUAGAAUUGUAAUUAUGUCACGCGAACGUGUCCACAAUCACAAUGAUACAUUAAACGGGCCUAAAGCAACCACGAGCAUUUGUCAUUUUUAUAUCUAAGUUAUGAAAUUAAUACGAGGGCCAUAAAUGAUUAAAUUGUGGAUGGCACACCUCGGGCUAUGUGAACUAUAUUUCAAUUAGCGGCCUAUUACAAGAAUUUUAUUAUUAUGAAGGUUUGAUCGAAGUUGCACGAACGCAUACUCCGAAUUAGUUUUUAGAAUCGUAAUUAUGUCAGGCGAACGUGUACACAAUCACGAUGAUCUAUUAAAUCACGCCUAAAGCAAGCUAUGAGGUUGAAAGCAUUUUUCUAUAUUAGUAAAGAUAUAGAUGUGAGGGUCAUAGACUAUGUGAUCGGAGGGCCAGAGCUGUCACACUAUUCGAGCCAACAUCUACAAAGUGUACAUGGGAAAUCAAAAUUUCUUAUAGAAAAUAUAGCUAGUUUUAAUGAGUGUCAACUUUUAAUUGAAUUGGGUAACUAUCUAAGACAAUACUCAAAAGCAAAUCCUAUAAGGUAAUGCCUUUUUGCAAUGAUAGCAUGUCAAAAGGAUGAUUGUGGUGAUUUUCUACU
This 13411-nucleotide long non-coding RNA is filed under the name Nicotiana tabacum (common tobacco). Its description in RNAcentral is "long non-coding RNA (NTAB_LNC011189)". The record is from RNAcentral. Lineage: Eukaryota; Viridiplantae; Streptophyta; Magnoliopsida; Solanales; Solanaceae.